Alligator sinensis (Chinese alligator) is the source of this 304-nucleotide long non-coding RNA. RefSeq lists it as uncharacterized. The transcript has 3 exons. The record is from RefSeq and is a predicted model, not a curated record. Lineage: Eukaryota; Metazoa; Chordata; Crocodylia; Alligatoridae.
AAGGAAGUCUCCCAGUCAGUUUGUGACUGCAGUGUGCCAGCUGCUCCUGAGUUGUAGAUGUGAUGAUGUGAAAAUGACCAUGGCCCAGGCUGGAGCAGUAGUUGCAACUGCAACAGGAGUUCUGCUUUUUCUCCUCUACGCCUCCAUUCACAAAGUCGAGGAGGGUCACCUGGCUGUGUAUUACAGCUGCUAAGUGCCUGAAAGUAAACACGCUUUACUGUUCCAUUCUUCCACAUAAGCAGUCGCUCUGGUUACCAUGGAGAAGUUAUACAAAUGUGGUUGAGAGGAGUAUUCUCCUGCCAGC